Molecule: small RNA, 126 nt
Filed under: Marmota monax (woodchuck)
Lineage: Eukaryota; Metazoa; Chordata; Mammalia; Rodentia; Sciuridae
Source: RNAcentral
ACCAGAUAUGGUGGCACAUGCCUGUAAUCCCAGCGACUUGGAGGCUGAGACAGGAGGAUCACAAGUUUGAGGCCAGCCUCAGCAACUUAGCUAGGCCCUAAGCAAUUUAGUGAUAUUCUGCUUCAA